Non-coding RNA from Pelobates cultripes (western spadefoot toad), 351 nucleotides. Lineage: Eukaryota; Metazoa; Chordata; Amphibia; Anura; Pelobatidae. The record is from the annotation of a GenBank genome assembly.
CGAGAAUUAGAGGGUUUCUGCAGUGAGGUUUAGUAAGAUUAGUAAGUGGCUGCAACAUUUUAAUAGGUGUGUUAGAUGGAACUUGUAUGGAUGUCCACUAGAACUGAGCAUUCAAUUCCAGGUGAACUACUAUUUGUCCGAUUUUAGGUGAUGGGCUCUUCCAGACAAAUUCUGUAUCUCUGAAGCGCAGCAUACCUGAGCAACCAUCUAGCUCAAUGGCCGAACAUGUUCACUUGAUUCAGUAUUUAGAGUUCUCCUGGGGCUCCAAACAAAGAUGAUUCAUGGAAUAAAUAUGAUUAAUAGCUAGGGGAGAGUCGCUAAAUGUUAGUUUAGGGAAAAAAGGAAGACCAG